GGUAAAUUACACAGGUGUCUGGUAGCUUGAGGGGCUUCCUGUUACCCUGCUGCUAGUUCUCCUUGUAGGCACUUGGAGAUUGUCCUCAGGCCUGCACAGCACGUGCAGUGAAACAGGCUGAGCUCACAGCUCUCUCAGACUUGUUUCUCUCUCUUGGAUGUUCUCCGAACCCUUCGCAGUACAGCGCUACUCCGUGCGGAUGGCAGCUGCAGUAUGCCGGCAGCAGCCAAACCAGUGCCAGGCCCUGCUGCAGGGCCUUCACAGCCGCCUGUGAAAGAAACCCAUUAAAGCUCCUACACACGUGAAUAAACUCACAGGAAACAAGCGCAGGUCCUCAUUGCAGCACAUCUCCCAUCCCUGCGGACGCAAGCCAGGCCAUUUUGCAGUGUCAAACACCUCACACCCCCCGAGCACACCGCUGCUUCUGACACAGGAGCCUGCUGCUGGGGCUUGGCAGGAAUCCCUGACGCAAUGCACUUAAGAAACAGUUGGCGGCCAACUCCUUAACCUUAAUUUCCAAAGACAACAGCAAUUCAUCUCUGGAUGUUGGUGAAACUGACUGCUUCUGCCACAUGGCCAAAUAAGGACAGCAACCACUCCUUCUGCUUCCAAGGGAGGAAAAAAGGGAAAGAUGCACCCCAUUUUCCAGUGCAACAGAAGGGCUGGAAUGAACUGCAAGUAAUCCAUUAUUUUUAGAGAUGCUAAAGCUGCUAUAUUAGAUCUUAAUCUAGGCCUUCUGCUGAGAGAAAGGAAAGUUGUAGUGAUGGCCUAGGAAAGAUAACCUCCUCCUACACCCCUUUUUUUGAUCAAGUGUUCGCACGAUCUGUUUCAUCAGCUAGGAAGUUUUUUGCUGGAAGCUAAGAUGACAGAUUUAACUUCUCCACCACUCUUCUCCCGUAUGUUCAAGUCUUCUGUGGAAGACAAUGCACUUACUUGGGACUCUUCUGCAUGAACUGAAGAAGCAGUGUGCUAGCACUCCUCUCUUCCACAAGGUCACAGAAAGCGUGUACUCUUAUGGAAUGCUGUGUGGAAACAAAAAAGACUUCAGACUUUUUGGUUUAAGUUCUUCGCAAUGAGAAAGGCCAAUAACCAUUCAGCUAUUGUCCCCUAUAUACACUUAGCUGCUUAUAAUACUUGGUAUUGAACUUUUAA
Long non-coding RNA from Cygnus olor (mute swan), 1152 nucleotides. RefSeq lists it as uncharacterized. The record is from RefSeq and is a predicted model, not a curated record. The transcript is spliced from 2 exons. Lineage: Eukaryota; Metazoa; Chordata; Aves; Anseriformes; Anatidae.